Molecule: ribosomal RNA, 253 nt
Filed under: uncultured bacterium
Lineage: Bacteria
Description: partial 16S ribosomal RNA
Rfam family: Bacterial small subunit ribosomal RNA
Source: RNAcentral
UACGUAGGGUGCAAGCGUUAAUCGGAAUUACUGGGCGUAAAGCGUGCGCAGGCGGUUGUGCAAGACAGAUGUGAAAUCCCCGGGCUUAACCUGGGAAUUGCAUUUGUGACUGUACGGCUAGAGUGUGUCAGAGGGGGGUAGAAUUCCACGUGUAGCAGUGAAAUGCGUAGAGAUGUGGAGGAAUACCGAUGGCGAAGGCAGCCCCCUGGGAUAACACUGACGCUCAUGCACGAAAGCGUGGGGAGCAAACAGG